UGGAACAAUUAGUCUCACUUUUGUUCUUGGAUCAACAUCAACACCAUCUUCAGUGUGAAGCUCGCUAAGCAAUUUAGCAAGAAUGAGUUCCACAGCCUUUAUCACAUCAUCAAAGGUCCCAGAUAUCAUAAUUAUCCUAUCUGAUGUUCCUGGGAAAAAUUCAUAAUUGCGUGACAACUGAAUUCGUGCUCUAGAUUGCAACUGAAAAUCGCUGAUUGUGGCACCACCCUUUCCAAUAACUGA
This 243-nucleotide unclassified non-coding RNA is filed under the name Hevea brasiliensis (rubber tree). Lineage: Eukaryota; Viridiplantae; Streptophyta; Magnoliopsida; Malpighiales; Euphorbiaceae. The record is from RNAcentral.